RNAcentral lists this ribosomal RNA (445 nucleotides) under uncultured bacterium. RNAcentral's name for it is "partial 16S ribosomal RNA". It matches the Rfam family "Bacterial small subunit ribosomal RNA", at positions 354 to 796 of the family's 1533-position model. The record is from RNAcentral.
GUGAGGAAUAUUGCGCAAUGGAGGCAACUCUGACGCAGCCAUGCCGCGUGCAGGAAGAAGGCGCUACGCGUUGUAAACUGCUUUUAACCGGGAAGAAACCCCAGGACGUGUCCUGGGUUGACGGUACCGGAGGAAUAAGCACCGGCUAACUUCGUGCCAGCAGCCGCGGUAAUACGAAGGGUACAAGCGUUAUCCGGAUCCAUUGGGUUUAAAGGGUGCGUAGGCGGAGCGUUAAGUCAGUGGUGAAAUCCUGCAGCUUAACUGUAGACUUGCCAUUGAUACUGGCGCUCUUGAGUGCGCUUGAAGUGGGCGGAAUGUGCCGUGUAGCGGUGAAAUGCUUAGAUAUGGCACAGAACACCAAUUGCGAAGGCAGCUCACUAAGGCGAUACUGACGCUGAGGCACGAAAGCGUGGGGAUCGAACAGGAUUAGAAACCCGAGUAGUCC